This 277-nucleotide ribosomal RNA is filed under the name uncultured bacterium. RNAcentral describes it as "partial 16S ribosomal RNA". It matches the Rfam family "Bacterial small subunit ribosomal RNA", at positions 333 to 607 of the family's 1533-position model. The record is from RNAcentral.
GUUUCCCUACGGGGGGCAGCAGUGAGGAAUAUUAGUCAAUGGGCGCGAGCCUGAACCAGCCAAGCAGCGUGAAGGAUGACUGCCCUACGGGUUGUAAACUUCUUUUAUAAAGGAAUAAAGUGAGGCACGUGUGCCUUUUUGUAUGUACUUUAUGAAUAAGGAUCGGCUAACUCCGUGCCAGCAGCCGCGGUAAUACGGAGGAUCCGAGCGUUAUCCGGAUUUAUUGGGUUUAAAGGGAGAGUAGAUGGGCUGUUAAGUCAGUUGUGAAAGUUUGCGG